UUUUAUUUGAGAGUUUGAUCCUGGCUCAGGAUGAACGCUGGCGGCGUGCCUAACACAUGCAAGUCGAGCGAACCCUUCGGGGUGAGCGGCGGACGGGUGAGUAACGCGUGGGUAACCUGCCUCAUACACAUGGAUAACAUACCGAAAGGUAUGCUAAUACAGGAUAACAUGUUUUUAUCGCAUGAUAAAAAUAUCAAAGCUCCGGCGGUAUGAGAUGGACCCGCGUCUGAU
This 231-nucleotide ribosomal RNA is filed under the name Asaccharospora irregularis DSM 2635. RNAcentral's name for it is "16S rRNA. Bacterial SSU". It matches the Rfam family "Bacterial small subunit ribosomal RNA", at positions 1 to 241 of the family's 1533-position model. Lineage: Bacteria; Bacillati; Bacillota; Clostridia; Peptostreptococcales; Peptostreptococcaceae. The record is from RNAcentral.